UGGGGAAUAUUGCACAAUGGGCGAAAGCCUGAUGCAGCAACGCCGCGUGAGUGAUGAAGGUCUUCGGAUUGUAAAGCUCUGUCUUUUGGGACGAUAAUGACGGUACCAAAGGAGGAAGCCACGGCUAACUACGUGCCAGCAGCCGCGGUAAUACGUAGGUGGCGAGCGUUGUCCGGAUUUACUGGGCGUAAAGGGUGCGUAGGCGGAUGUUUAAGUGAGAUGUGAAAUACCCGGGCUUAACUUGGGUGCUGCAUUUCAAACUGGAUAUCUAGAGUGCAGGAGAGGAGAAUGGAAUUCCUAGUGUAGCGGUGAAAUGCGUAGAGAUUAGGAAGAACACCAGUGGCGAAGGCGAUUCUCUGGACUGUAACUGACGCUGAGGCACGAAAGCGUGGGUAGCAAACAGGAUUAGAUACCCUGGUAGUCCACGCCGUAAACGAUGAGUACUAGGUGUAGGAGGUAUCGACCCCUUCUGUGCCGCAGUAAACACAUUAAGUACUCCGC
Molecule: ribosomal RNA, 501 nt
Filed under: uncultured bacterium
Lineage: Bacteria
Description: partial 16S ribosomal RNA
Rfam family: Bacterial small subunit ribosomal RNA
Source: RNAcentral